AGGAACUUCCCAAGGAACAGGCUAACCUUGCAGCCUGUCCCCGGGCAUUCCGA
Molecule: microRNA precursor, 53 nt
Filed under: Ciona intestinalis (vase tunicate)
Lineage: Eukaryota; Metazoa; Chordata; Ascidiacea; Phlebobranchia; Cionidae
Description: microRNA cin-mir-4001i precursor
Source: miRBase by way of RNAcentral